RNAcentral lists this ribosomal RNA (468 nucleotides) under uncultured bacterium. Its description in RNAcentral is "partial 16S ribosomal RNA". It matches the Rfam family "Bacterial small subunit ribosomal RNA", at positions 28 to 507 of the family's 1533-position model. The record is from RNAcentral.
GACGAACGCUGGCGGCGUGCUUAACACAUGCAAGUCGAACGGAAAGGCCCUGCUUUUGUGGGGUGCUCGAGUGGCGAACGGGUGAGUAACACGUGAGUAACCUGCCCUUGACUUUGGGAUAACUUCAGGAAACUGGGGCUAAUACCGGAUAGGAGCUCCUGCUGCAUGGUGGGGGUUGGAAAGUUUCGGCGGUUGGGGAUGGACUCGCGGCUUAUCAGCUUGUUGGUGGGGUAGUGGCUUACCAAGGCUUUGACGGGUAGCCGGCCUGAGAGGGUGACCGGCCACAUUGGGACUGAGAUACGGCCCAGACUCCUACGGGAGGCAGCAGUGGGGAAUAUUGCACAAUGGGCGGAAGCCUGAUGCAGCAACGCCGCGUGCGGGAUGACGGCCUUCGGGUGGUAGACCGCUUUCGCCUGUGACGAAGCGUGAGUGACGGUAAUGGGUAAAGAAGCACCGGCUAACUACGUG